GAUGAACGCUGACAGAAUGCUUAACACAUGCAAGUCGUUCGCGAAGCUGUGCUUGCACAGCCUAGCCGUGGCUGACGGGUGAGUAACUCGUAAUGAACUUGCCCUGCAGUCAGGGAUAACAUACUGAAACGACUGAUAGGACCUGGUAAAGACAGGCGGACUCAUGUCCAGCCUGAAAAAAAGAGAUGCUGCAGGAUAGGCUUACGUCCUAUUAAGUAGGUGGUGGGUCAAUGGCCCACCAAGGCGAUGAUCGGUAGCUGGCCUGAGAGGGUGGUCAGCCAGACGGGGAAUGAGACACGGCCCAGACUCCGACGGGAAGCAGCAGUGGGGAAUAGUGGACAAUGGGAAAAAUGAUGAUGCAGCUAUGUCGGGUGAAUGAAGAAGGCCUUAGGGUUGUAAAGCUCUUUUAGCCGGGAUGAUAAUGACAGUACCGGGAGAAUAAGCUCCGGCUAACUCCGUG
RNAcentral lists this ribosomal RNA (460 nucleotides) under uncultured bacterium. Its description in RNAcentral is "partial 16S ribosomal RNA". It matches the Rfam family "Bacterial small subunit ribosomal RNA", at positions 28 to 507 of the family's 1533-position model. The record is from RNAcentral.